Molecule: long non-coding RNA, 761 nt
Organism: Lagopus muta (rock ptarmigan)
Lineage: Eukaryota; Metazoa; Chordata; Aves; Galliformes; Phasianidae
Exons: 6
Source: RefSeq, a predicted model, not a curated record
CAGCACGUCAGAGGAAGAAGAUGGAGCUGUGAGUGAUGCUUGCAGUACAGCUUGGUGGUACUGCACAGGCUUGGCAUACUUCAGAGCUUCAAACCCAGUUGUUUCCGUGCUUCCAUACUUUGGGAUCUACAAAUGAAGAGAAUGUCAGUCAGGUUGUACACAGUGCUCUGGAUGGAAAACACGGAGGUGCUCAGAGAGGUGGUGUAUACUCCGUCCCCAGACAAUCAGGCUCGUGCAUCGUCUUCCCAGAAGUAUAUCUGCAACUACCUAAGAGCCCAAACCUGUAAGUUCUGAAAACUUUUGCACGGUAUCUGAUUGGCUGAGGGACCAGAGAGAUUACCUGUGCAGCUCAGUUUCUCUCUUCUUCGCAAGCAGAGUUCCCUCACUGAUGUGCUUUCCUCCUCCUCUAACUUCUGCUGCUCCAAAGGAUGCAUGGAACAAAAUGGUCUUCAAAUGCUUCUCUCUGCUGGCACUAGCAAGGGUGUUCUGCCAAUUCCUACAUCAGCACUCCUUGAUCUGGGUCCUGAGAACUCAGCGAGUGCUGUAUUCUGAAGCUAGGAGCCAUAGAGUUGGGCAUUCUGACUGCCUCUGUGCCUAGAUGAGUCGUCAUAGGGCAAGAGGAGGAGAAACGAGACUGGAAAAAAUAAGAGUGAUGAGAGAGAGAGAGGAAGAGAGAGAUCUCCUUUGCUAACAACUGCCAAGAUGCACAGCAUGCUCAGUGAGACUAUACUCAACAAAGCCCUGUGUCUUGGAGAUCGUUG